UUUAUUUAUUUUUGUUUGGAGUUUUCUCGUUAAUUAAGUUGAAUUAAGAAAUUUUUGAGAGAAAGAUGGCACGCUUCCUGUUUUGUUUAUUUUUUUAAAAAAUAAAUUUUGCUGAAAAUGUGAAUCAACUAGAAUUUAAAUUUGAAAUCUUGGAUACCAACAACCAAGCCUUUUGUCAUUUCCUCUGCAGACGGUCGGUAGUUGUAUCACUUAAUCCUUACAUAUUAGUAGUUAAAACAAUAUAUAUAAGGUAAAAAUGCGAAAAGCUUAUCUGAACUGAACUAUGAACCAUUUAUCUAAUCUUUUAAAAUUUUAAUUUACUAUACAACAUUUCAAAAUUUACACUUACUACUAAAUUAAUGAAUUUGUAGUUACGAGAAUCGGAUGAUAUAUACUAUUUAAAUCUGUACAGAUAAAUAAUCGAUGUAUUCAAAUUUUAAAGUUAAAUUAUUAUUGAUUAAUUCAAAUUAGAAAAUUAAAAAAUUGGACAAUAGGGAUUAUGUCAUUGAUUCUAAUAAAAAAAUAAAAAGAAAAAGAAAAAGAAAGAAAGAAAAAAAGG
RNAcentral lists this long non-coding RNA (559 nucleotides) under Ananas comosus (pineapple). RNAcentral's name for it is "long non-coding RNA (ACOM_LNC025242)". The record is from RNAcentral. Lineage: Eukaryota; Viridiplantae; Streptophyta; Magnoliopsida; Poales; Bromeliaceae.